This 419-nucleotide ribosomal RNA is filed under the name bacterium. RNAcentral describes it as "partial 16S ribosomal RNA". It matches the Rfam family "Bacterial small subunit ribosomal RNA", at positions 355 to 776 of the family's 1533-position model. The record is from RNAcentral.
UGGGGGAUAUUGCACAAUGGGCGAAAGCCUGAUGCAGCGACGCCGCGUGGGGGAUGAAGGCCUUCGGGUUGUAAACUUCUUUUGCUCUGAACAAGGCAUGCUAAUGGGUGUGUUGAGUGUAGGGGUUGAUUAGCGCCGGCUAACUACGUGCCAGCAGCCGCGGUAAUACGUAGGGCGCGAGCGUUGUCCGGAAUUAUUUGGCGUAAAGGGCAUGUAGGUGGCUGGUUGCGUCUGUCGUGACAGCUCCUGGCUUAACUGUGGGUUUGCUGUGGGUACGGGCUGGCUUGAGUGCAGUAGAGGAGGCUGGAAUUCCUGGUGUAGCGGUGGAAUGCGCAGAUAUCAGGAGGAAUACCGGUGGCGAAGGCGGGUCUCUGGGCUGUUACUGACACUGAGGAGCGAAAGCAUGGGGAGCGAACAGG